AGAGUUUGAUCCUGGCUCAGAUUGAACGCUGGCGGCGUGCUUAACACAUGCAAGUCGAACGAGAAAGGGACUUCGGUCCUGAGUAGAGUGGCGCACGGGUGAGUAACGCGUAGGUAAUCUACCUCUGCAUCUGGGAUAACACUUCGAAAGGGGUGCUAAUACCGGAUACACUUAUGGGUCGCAAGACCUAUAAGGAAAGGAGACCUCUCCUUGGAAGUUUCUGUGUAGAGAUGAGCCUGCGUCCCAUUAGCUAGUUGGUAGGGUAAUGGCCUACCAAGGCGAUGAUGCGUAGCCGACCUGAGAGGGUGACCGGCCACACUGGGACUGAGACACGGCCCAGACUCCUACGGGAGGCAGCAGUAGGGAAUUUUCGGCAAUGGGCGCAAGCCUGACCGAGCAACGCCGCGUGAGUGAUUAAGGCCUUCGGGUUGUAAAGCUCUGUUGUAAGGGAAGAAAAAUCAGUAGAGGAAAUGAUACUGAUCUGACGGUACCUUACCAGAAAGCCACGGCUAACUACGUGCCAGCAGCCGCGGUAAUACGUAGGUGGCAAGCGUUAUCCGGAAUUAUUGGGCGUAAAGGGUGCGUAGGCGGUUUAUUAAGUCUAUGGUGAAAGUGCGGGGCUCAACCCCGUAUGGCCAUAGAAACUGAUAGACUAGAGUGCAGGAGAGGGCAAUGGAAUUCCAUGUGUAGCGGUAAAAUGCGUAGAUAUAUGGAGGAACACCAGUGGCGAAGGCGGUUGCCUGGCCUGUAACUGACGCUGAAGCACGAAAGCGUGGGGAGCAAAUAGGAUUAGAUACCCUGGUAGUCC
Molecule: ribosomal RNA, 808 nt
Filed under: uncultured bacterium
Lineage: Bacteria
Description: bacterial SSU rRNA
Rfam family: Bacterial small subunit ribosomal RNA
Source: RNAcentral